Molecule: ribosomal RNA, 258 nt
Filed under: uncultured Glomeromycotina
Lineage: Eukaryota; Fungi; Glomeromycota
Description: partial 18S ribosomal RNA
Rfam family: Eukaryotic small subunit ribosomal RNA
Source: RNAcentral
AAGCUCGUAGUUGAAUUUCGGGGUUAGUAGGUUGGUCAUGCCUCUGGUAUGUACUGGUCUCACUGAUUCCUCCUUCCAGAUGAACCUUAAUGCCAUUAAUUUGGUGUUUUGGGAAAUUUGGACUGUUACUUUGAAAAAAUUAGAGUGUUUAAAGCAAGCUAACGCUUGAAUACAUUAGCAUGGAAUAAUGAAAUAGGACGUUCGAUCCUAUUUUGUUGGUUUCUGGGAUCACCGUAAUGAUUAAUAGGGAUAGUUGGG